CCCCAGACUCCUACGGGAGGCAGCAGUGGGGAAUAUUGCACAAUGGGGGAAACCCUGAUGCAGCGACGCCGCGUGAGCGAUGAAGUAUUUCGGUAUGUAAAGCUCUAUCAGCAGGGAAGAAAAUGACGGUACCUGACUAAGAAGCCCCGGCUAACUACGUGCCAGCAGCCGCGGUAAUACGUAGGGGGCAAGCGUUAUCCGGAUUUACUGGGUGUAAAGGGAGCGUAGACGGCAAUGCAAGCCAGAUGUGAAAGCCCGGGGCUCAACCCCGGGACUGCAUUUGGAACUGUGUAGCUGGAGUGUCGGAGAGGCAGGCGGAAUUCCUAGUGUAGCGGUGAAAUGCGUAGAUAUUAGGAGGAACACCAGUGGCGAAGGCGGCCUGCUGGACGAUGACUGACGUUGAGGCUCGAAAGCGUGGGGAGCAAACAGGGUUAGAUACCCCUGUA
Molecule: ribosomal RNA, 446 nt
Filed under: uncultured bacterium
Lineage: Bacteria
Description: partial 16S ribosomal RNA
Rfam family: Bacterial small subunit ribosomal RNA
Source: RNAcentral